This 242-nucleotide ribosomal RNA is filed under the name uncultured bacterium. Its description in RNAcentral is "partial 16S ribosomal RNA". It matches the Rfam family "Bacterial small subunit ribosomal RNA", at positions 92 to 334 of the family's 1533-position model. The record is from RNAcentral.
CGAGUGGCGAACGGGUGAGUAACGCGUACGCAACCUACCCUUAAGAGUGGGAUAGCCCUGGGAAACUGGGAUUAAUACCGCAUAUUAUUACGACAUCGCAUGGUGUUGUACUGAAAAUUCAGGUGCUUAAGGAUGGGCGUGCGUGCUAUUAGCUAGUUGGUGAGGUAACGGCUCACCAAGGCGAUGAUAGCUAGGGGGCGUGAGAGCGUGGCCCCCCACACGGGUACUGAGACACGGACCCG